CUGAAUAACCGAGCAGAUCGCACAGUCUUUGAACUGGCGACGCAUCUUUCAAGUGUCUGCCUUAUCAACUUUCGAUGGUAGUUUAUGUGACUACCAUGGUUGUAACGGGUAACGGAGAAUCAGGGUUCGACUCCGGAGAGGGAGCCUGAGAAACGGCUACCACAUCCAAGGAAGGCAGCAGGCGCGCAAAUUACCCAUUCUCAGUACGAGGAGGUAGUGACGAAAAAUAACGAGGUGGUUCUCUAUGAGGCCCACUAUCGGAAUGAUGACAAUCCAAAUCCUUUACAAAGGAUCUAGCGGAGGGCAAGUCUGGUGCCAGCAGCCGCGGUAAUUCCAGCUCCGCCAGUGUAUACCUAUGCUGCUGCGGUUAAAAAG
This 375-nucleotide ribosomal RNA is filed under the name Nematoda sp. Its description in RNAcentral is "SSU rRNA". It matches the Rfam family "Eukaryotic small subunit ribosomal RNA", at positions 252 to 626 of the family's 1831-position model. The record is from RNAcentral. Lineage: Eukaryota; Metazoa; Nematoda.